CCUUCGGGUUGUAAAGCUCUGUCUUCUGGGACGAUAAUGACGGUACCAGAGGAGGAAGCCACGGCUAACUACGUGCCAGCAGCCGCGGUAAUACGUAGGUGGCAAGCGUUGUCCGGAUUUACUGGGCGUAAAGGAUGCGUAGGCGGAUACUUAAGUCAGAUGUGAAAUCCCCGGGCUUAACUUGGGAGCUGCAUUUGAAACUGGGUAUCUAGAGUGCGGGAGAGGAAAGUGGAAUUCCUAGUGUAGCGGUGAAAUGCGUAGAGAUUAGGAAGAACACCAGUGGCGAAGGCGACUUUCUGGACUGUAACUGACGCUGAGGCAUGAAAGCGUGGGGAGCAAACAGGAUUAGAUACC
Molecule: ribosomal RNA, 354 nt
Filed under: uncultured bacterium
Lineage: Bacteria
Description: bacterial SSU rRNA
Rfam family: Bacterial small subunit ribosomal RNA
Source: RNAcentral